This 209-nucleotide ribosomal RNA is filed under the name uncultured bacterium. RNAcentral describes it as "partial 16S ribosomal RNA". It matches the Rfam family "Bacterial small subunit ribosomal RNA", at positions 568 to 774 of the family's 1533-position model. The record is from RNAcentral.
UGCGUAGGCGGAUAGAUAAGUCAGAGGUGAAAGCCCACAGCUCAACUGUGGAAUUGCCUUUGAUACUGUUUAUCUUGAAUAAGGUUGAGGUUAGCGGAAUGUGGCAUGUAGCGGUGAAAUGCAUAGAUAUGCCAUAGAACACCAAUUGCGUAGGCAGCUAGCUAGGCCUUUAUUGACGCUGGAGGCACGAAAGCAGUGGGGAGCGAACA